GUGAACAAUUAAACGGCCGCGGUACCCUAACCGUGCAAAGGUAGCAUAAUCAUUUGUCUACUAAUUAUAGACCUGUAUGAAAGGCAAAAUGAGGGCCUAACUGUCUCUUAUAGCGAAUCAAUUAAACUGAUCUCCUAGUAAAAAAGCUAGAAUUUCCCCAUAAGACCAGAAGACCCUGUGAAGCUUAAACUAAACUAUUAAAUCACAUAAUAACUACUUUCGGUUGGGGCGACCUUGGAAAAAAAAAGAACUUCCAACAACCAUGACUAUUCAUCAACCACCCUAGGCCUACAAGCCAGUUAACGACCCAGCACAGCUGAUCAAUGAACCAAGUUACUCCAGGGAUAACAGCGCAAUCCUCUUCAAGAGCCCAUAUCAAAAAGAGGGUUUACGACCUCGAUGUUGGAU
This is a ribosomal RNA of 408 nucleotides. It matches the Rfam family "Bacterial large subunit ribosomal RNA", at positions 1912 to 2537 of the family's 2925-position model.